GGUCAGCUACAAAGGGCUCAUGGUGGAUC
This 29-nucleotide ribosomal RNA is filed under the name uncultured cyanobacterium. Its description in RNAcentral is "partial 23S ribosomal RNA". The record is from RNAcentral. Lineage: Bacteria; Bacillati; Cyanobacteriota.